Leptinotarsa decemlineata (Colorado potato beetle) is the source of this 1446-nucleotide long non-coding RNA. The record is from RefSeq and is a predicted model, not a curated record. Lineage: Eukaryota; Metazoa; Arthropoda; Insecta; Coleoptera; Chrysomelidae.
CUUGAACCUCAAGGUAAAACAUUAGCAAAUUUGCCGAAGUUUUUUUAACUACUUAGUCUAUCAGUAUUAGUUUUACAUACUUAGGUAUACAUAUUUUUGUAACGUGUACUAAAAGGAAUGCUAAAGAUACGAAGUACUACAAGCUGCCGAGGUGGGCAUACUACAUUUACAAGGUAUCUUACAGAACGAGAAAUAUAAUUUGUUAUCGACGUUCACUUCAUAUUAACGAAAAUUCUGACCUGAAUGUACAGCGAAUGGAUGAGAAAAACGAGUGAUGACAUUUUCCAAUGAAUACUAAUUUUACUGCCCUCAAGCUGAAAUUUCUUCAAUGUCUUCUAGAUACAUAUAACGUUUCUCAUUAACGAGGAUGGGCGUUGUCAGUGACGCAACAUAUAGGAUUUUUUUCAGUCAAUUUGUUUAUAUCGCAUAUCACUUAGAAAGCCGGUCCUGUGCGCCACUUCUUAUCGCUAACUCAAGAAUGUUAUCAGAAAACUGCAGGUACUUCGAGUCUGCUGAUAAAAAAUAAAUCUGGCAACGGUGCCCUGGAAGUGUAGACAUGACUUCCAUAUUAUUGACAAAAAGCCGACUUUGUACAACUGGUUGCCGAGUUUCUGGCGGCGAUACGAAUAUCCGGCGUGCCGUUGUCACAUGAAUUGGAAUGGCAACUUGUUGAUUAUUCACUUGUUGACCUAUUCGAAUCUGCAAUCGAAUCUGAUGUGCCAUCUAUACAGAACGCGAAGAAACAGCAUUUUGAAUAUUUUGAUAACUAGCUCGCGUCGUGAUUUACAAAGAAAGUGUUGUAUUGACAGCCAUUCGGUUUCGUUUGUCAGCAAACAAAUACUAGAAGCGGAAAGGUUCCCAACAGCAACAAGAAUCAAGGUCUUAUUUUUGCCUCUAGCUAGUUAAAUGUGAUGUCAUAAUGACAUCACCGGGAGGCUCUGCGACUUCGUUAAGCAUUGGUUAGGCAUUAAAAAAGUGGACAUAGUUCACAGCGCAAGGUGGUUAUAUUUCGGAAAAGUUUGCACAACAUUCGCGGACGAUAAGUGAACCGUAAUUGUCGAUUGUUGCCAAUCCAAUUCAUUUCGAAUUCGCCAUUGCUGUUUGGUGGAGUAGAAUCAAUAGCGGUUGACGUCACGGUGGGUGCUUGUCGGAGCGGCGCUAUCAGUGAAGCGGGGGGGGGAUCAGUGCACUUGUAACUUGGCUAGUAGUGUCAUGUAUUCGCGCAAGUGUCUCGAACUGUCUUAUGUUUUGUGAUUGAUUUAGUGCAUUGUGCUACGCUAAAUUCGGCUGCCAUUUUGCUGCUUUUCGGCAACCGGUCCCAAGUAAUGAUUCCAGAUCACAACAAGAUCAUAUUUUGAUACACUAUGCGAGAUGAUCAGGAGAAAAAUUGACAUGGAAUAGGAGGAGGUAAGUUUUCACAAAUAACUUGUAUAUGAGCCUUAAUUU